CAGCAGCCACGGUAAUACGAAGGGGGCUAGCGUUGCUCGGAAUGACUGGGCGUAAAGGGCGCGUAGGCGGAAUGCUUUGUCGGGCGUGAAAUUCCAGGGCUCAACCUGGGGGCUGCGCUUGAUACUUGGUUGCUUGAGUGGGGAAGAGGGUCGUGGAAUUCCCAGUGUAGAGGUGAAAUUCGUAGAUAUGUGGAGGAAUACCGAUGGCGAAGGCAGCCCCCUGGGCCAAUACUGACGCUCAUGCACGAAAGCGUGGGGAGCAAACAGGAUUAGAUACCCCAGUAGUCCCUGUCUCUUAUAC
This 301-nucleotide ribosomal RNA is filed under the name uncultured bacterium. RNAcentral's name for it is "partial 16S ribosomal RNA". It matches the Rfam family "Bacterial small subunit ribosomal RNA", at positions 509 to 807 of the family's 1533-position model. The record is from RNAcentral.